This 564-nucleotide ribosomal RNA is filed under the name uncultured crenarchaeote. RNAcentral describes it as "bacterial SSU rRNA". It matches the Rfam family "Archaeal small subunit ribosomal RNA", at positions 908 to 1472 of the family's 1478-position model. Lineage: Archaea; Thermoproteati; Thermoproteota. The record is from RNAcentral.
GGAGUCACGCCAGAAAUCUUACCCGGAGAGACAGCAGAAUGAAGGUCAAGCUGAAGACUUUACCAGACAAGCUGAGAGGUGGUGCAUGGCCGUCGCCAGCUCGUGCCGUGAGAUGUCCUGUUAAGUCAGGUAACGAGCGAGAUCCCUGCCACUAGUUGCUAUCAUUAUUCUCAGGAAUAGUGGGGCGAAUUAGUGGGACUGCCGUUGUUAAAACGGAGGAAGGAAGGGGCUACGGCAGGUCAGUAUGCCCCGAAACUCUGGGGCCACACGCGGGCUGCAAUGGUAGCGACAAUGAGCUCCAAACUCGAAAGAGAGUGGCAAUCUCUAAACGCUACCACAGUUAUGACUGAGGGCUGUAACUCGCCCUCACGAAUAUGGAAUCCCUAGUAACCGCGUGUCAUUACCGCGCGGUGAAUACGUCCCUGCUCCUUGCACACACCGCCCGUCGUUUCAUCGAAAUUUGCUUUUAGCGAGGUGAUGUUUAAUUGACAUUAUCGAACUUGAGGUAAGUGACGAGGGAAAAGUCGUAACAAGGUGACCGUAGGGGAACCUGCGGUCGGAUCA